AGUGCGUCUUAAGCAUGCAAGUCAAACGGAAUGUAGCAAUACAUUUAGUGGCGAACGGGUGAGUAACGCGUGGAUGAUCUACCUAYGAGAUGGGGAUAACUAYUAGAAAUAGUAGCUAAUACCGAAUAARGUCAAUYAAUUUGUUAAUUGAUGAAAGGAAGCCUUUAAAGCUUCGCUUGUAGAUGAGUCUGCGUCUUAUUAGUUAGUUGGURGGGUAAAUGCCUACCAAGRCGAUGAUAAGUAACCGGCCUGAGAGGGUGAACGGUCACACUGGAACUGAGAUACGGUCCAGACUCCUACGGGAGGCAGCAGCUAAGAAUCUUCCGCAAUGGGCGAAAGCCUGACGGAGCGACACUGCGUGAAUGAAGAAGGUCGAAAGAUUGUAAAAUUCUUUUAUAAAUGAGGAAUAAGCUUUGUAGGAAAUGACAAAGYGAUGACGUUAAUUUAUGAAUAAGCCCCGGCUAAUUACGUGCCAGCAGCCGCGGUAAUACGUAAGGGGCGAGCGUUGUUCGGGAUUAUUGGGCGUAAAGGGUGAGUAGGCGGAUAUAUAAGUCUAUGCAUAAAAUACCACAGCUCAACUGUGGARCUAUGUUGGAAACUAUAUGUCUAGAGUCUGAUAGAGGAAGUUAGAAUUCCUGG
This 639-nucleotide ribosomal RNA is filed under the name Borreliella afzelii. RNAcentral describes it as "bacterial SSU rRNA". The record is from RNAcentral. Lineage: Bacteria; Pseudomonadati; Spirochaetota; Spirochaetia; Spirochaetales; Borreliaceae.